UGCUCAAUAAACGGUCCCUGUUCUUUGAUCAGCUCAUUUGUAAUUUCCCCUCUUAUUCCAAUGACAGCUCAAGAAAUUUCUACUUAGCUAAAUUUUCCAAAAAUAAACAAGGCCCAAGUAUUUACUCCUGGGUUGUAUAAAAUCUUGGCAUGUAUGUGUGUAUACAGAAACUCUGAUCAAAAUUCACAAGUAUUUUCUAACCUUGCAAGACUCCCCUGCCAUGUGUUUUUAUAGAGAGUCCCACUUAACAGAUGUUGCGAAUUUACAGAGACAGACGAAUGCCAUCCAAUUAUCCAUGUCCAUGUGACGUUAAAGAUUAUUACCAAACUCAAAAAGGUCCACAUCAAUAAAUAAUAUAAGUUUCAACAAUAUGCUAAUUUUCAAUAUCACAGGAUUGACAACAACAAAGAAAACGAGAACUAUAUGGUUCUCUAUGAAGAUACCAUGAGAAAUAAUACUGACAGCAACAAAGAAAAGGCUAACUAUAUAGAAAGCUUCAAGUUGAUCUUUCUUUGGUUCAUAUAAAGAUAAUAAUAUGCUAGCAUUGAGAAUGACACAAACAUUUGUUAAAAGACCAAGAACUGAGGAAAACUUUAGUGACAACAACAAAGAAAAGGUUCGCUAUCAAGAUACCAUGAGAAAUAAUACAGACAACAACAAAGAAAAGGCUAACUAUAUAGAAAGCUUCAAGUUGAUCUUUCUUUGGUUCAUAUAAAGAUAAUAAUAUGCUAGCAUUG
RNAcentral lists this long non-coding RNA (737 nucleotides) under Manihot esculenta (cassava). RNAcentral's name for it is "long non-coding RNA (MESC_LNC004953)". The record is from RNAcentral. Lineage: Eukaryota; Viridiplantae; Streptophyta; Magnoliopsida; Malpighiales; Euphorbiaceae.